CCUACGGGAGGCAGCAGUGAGGAAUAUUGGUCAAUGGGCGAGAGCCUGAACCUGCCAAGUCGCGUGAAGGAUGACGGCCCUACGGGUUGUAAACUUCUUUUGUCAGGGAGCAAUUGGGUCCACGCGUGGGCUUAGCGAGAGUACCGGAAGAAAAAGCAUCGGCUAACUCCGUGCCAGAAGCCGCGGUAAUACGGAGGAUGCGAGCGUUAUCCGGAUUGUUUGGGUUAAAGGGGUGCGUAGGCGGAAUAUCAAGUCAGCGGUAAAAAUGCGGGGCGAAACCCCGUCGUGCCGUUGAAACUGAUGUUCUUGAGUGGGCGAGAGGUAUGCGGAAUGCGUGGUGUAGCAGUGAAAUGCAUAGAUAUCACGCAGAACUCUGAUUGCGAAGGCAGCAUACCGGCGCCCAACUGACGCUGAAGCACGAAAGCGUGGGUAUCGAACAGGAUUAGAUACCCUUGUAGUC
Molecule: ribosomal RNA, 460 nt
Filed under: uncultured bacterium
Lineage: Bacteria
Description: partial 16S ribosomal RNA
Rfam family: Bacterial small subunit ribosomal RNA
Source: RNAcentral